UACGGGGGGGGCAAGCGUUGUUCGGAAUUACUGGGCGUAAAGGGCGCGUAGGCGGUUCAUUAAGUUGGAUGUGAAAACUCUGGGCUUAACUCAGAGCCUGCAUUCAAAACUGAUGGGCUGGAGUUCUGGAGGGGAUAGCGGAAUUCCUGGUGUAGCGGUGAAAUGCGUAGAUAUCAGGAGGAACACCGGUGACGAAGGCGGCUAUCUGGACAGAAACUGACGCUGAGGCGCGAAAGCUAGGGGAGCAAACAGG
Molecule: ribosomal RNA, 253 nt
Filed under: uncultured bacterium
Lineage: Bacteria
Description: partial 16S ribosomal RNA
Rfam family: Bacterial small subunit ribosomal RNA
Source: RNAcentral